RNAcentral lists this ribosomal RNA (492 nucleotides) under uncultured bacterium. RNAcentral describes it as "partial 16S ribosomal RNA". It matches the Rfam family "Bacterial small subunit ribosomal RNA", at positions 29 to 507 of the family's 1533-position model. The record is from RNAcentral.
AGUGAACGCUGGCGGUAGGCCUAACACAUGCAAGUCGAACGGCAGCACAGUAAGAGCUUGCUCUUACGGGUGGCGAGUGGCGGACGGGUGAGGAAUACAUCGGAAUCUACUUUUUCGUGGGGGAUAACGUAGGGAAACUUACGCUAAUACCGCAUACGACCUACGGGUGAAAGCAGGGGAUCUUCGGACCUUGCGCGAUUGAAUGAGCCGAUGUCGGAUUAGCUAGUUGGCGGGGUAAAGGCCCACCAAGGCGACGAUCCGUUGCUGGUCUGAGAGGAUGGUCAGCCACACUGGAACUGAGACACGGUCCAGACUCCUACGAGAGGCAGCAGUGGGGAAUAUUGGACAAUGGGCGCAAGCCUGAUCCAGCCAUACCGCGUGGGUGAAGGAGGCCUUCCGGUUGUAAAGCCCUUUUGUUGGGAAAGAAAAGCAGCAGGUUAAUACCCCGCUGUUCUGACGGUACCCAAAGAAUAAGCACCGGCUAACUUCGUG